This is a ribosomal RNA of Gadus morhua (Atlantic cod), 114 nucleotides long. The record is from Ensembl. NCBI's taxonomy places the organism in Eukaryota, Metazoa, Chordata, Actinopteri, Gadiformes, Gadidae.
GGUUACGGCCAUACCACCCUGAGCACGCCCGAUCUCGUCUGAUCUCGGAGGCUAAGCAGGGUCCGGCCUGGUUAGUACUUGGAUGGGUGACCCCCUGGGAAUGGCUGAUGACCC